RNAcentral lists this transfer RNA (69 nucleotides) under Arctocephalus forsteri (New Zealand fur seal). RNAcentral's name for it is "tRNA-His". It matches the Rfam family "tRNA". From Rfam's summary of the family: Transfer RNA (tRNA) molecules are approximately 80 nucleotides in length. Their secondary structure includes four short double-helical elements and three loops (D, anti-codon, and T loops). Lineage: Eukaryota; Metazoa; Chordata; Mammalia; Carnivora; Otariidae. RNAcentral also lists the same sequence under 1 other name. The record is from RNAcentral.
GUAAAUAUAGUUUAAGAAAAACAUUAGAUUGUGAAUCUAAUAAUACGAGCUCAAACCUCCUUAUUUACC